This 419-nucleotide ribosomal RNA is filed under the name bacterium. RNAcentral's name for it is "partial 16S ribosomal RNA". It matches the Rfam family "Bacterial small subunit ribosomal RNA", at positions 355 to 776 of the family's 1533-position model. The record is from RNAcentral.
UGGGGGAUAUUGCACAAUGGGCGAAAGCCUGAUGCAGCGACGCCGCGUGGGGGAUGAAGGCCUUCGGGUUGUAAACUUCUUUUGCUCUGAACAAGACGCACCAUGGGGUGUGUUGAGUGUAGGGGUUGAUUAGCGCCGGCUAACUACGUGCCAGCAGCCGCGGUAAUACGUAGGGCGCGAGCGUUGUCCGGAAUUAUUGGGCGUAAAGGGCUUGUAGGUGGCUGGUUGCGUCUGUCGUGAAAGCUCAUGGCUUAACUGUGGGUUUGCGGUGGGUACGGGCUGGCUUGAGUGCAGUAGGGGAGGCUGGAAUUCCUGGUGUAGCGGUGGAAUGCGCAGAUAUCAGGAGGAAUACCGGUGGCGAAGGCGGGUCUCUGGGCUGUUACUGACACUGAGGAGCGAAAGCAUGGGGAGCGAACAGG